RNAcentral lists this ribosomal RNA (468 nucleotides) under uncultured bacterium. RNAcentral's name for it is "partial 16S ribosomal RNA". It matches the Rfam family "Bacterial small subunit ribosomal RNA", at positions 28 to 507 of the family's 1533-position model. The record is from RNAcentral.
GACGAACGCUGGCGGCGUGCUUAACACAUGCAAGUCGAACGGAAAGGCCCUGCUUUUGUGGGGUGCUCGAGUGGCGAACGGGUGAGUAACACGUGAGUAACCUGCCCUUGACUUUGGGAUAACUUCAGGAAACUGGGGCUAAUACCGGAUAGGAGCUCCUGCUGCAUGGUGGGGGUUGGAAAGUUUCGGCGGUUGGGUAUGGACUCGCGGCUUAUCAGCUUGUUGGUGGGGUAGUGGCUUACCAAGGCUUUGACGGGUAGCCGGCCUGAGAGGGUGACCGGCCACAUUGGGACUGAGAUACGGCCCAGACGUCUACGGGAGGCAGCAGUGGGGAAUAUUGUACAAUGGGCGGAAGCCGGAUGCAGCAACGCCGCGUGCGGGAUGACCGCCUUCGGGUUGUAAACCGCUUUCGCCUGUGACGAAGCGGGAGUGACGGUAAUGGGUAAAGAAGCACCGGCUAACUACGUG